GGCAAGCGUUGUCCGGAAUUAUUGGGCGUAAAGCGCGCGCAGGCGGUCCUUUAAGUCUGAUGUGAAAGCCCACGGCUCAACCGUGGAGGGUCAUUGGAAACUGGGGGACUUGAGUGCAGGAGAGGGGAGCGGAAUUCCAUGUGUAGCGGUGAAAUGCGUAGAGAUAUGGAGGAACACCAGUGGCGAAGGCGGCUCUCUGGCCUGUAACUGACGCUGAGGCGCGAAAGCGUGGGGAGCGAACAGGAUUAGAUACCCUGGUAGUCCACGCCGUAAACGAUGAGUGCUAAGUGUUAGAGGGUUUCCACCCUUUAGUGCUGCAGCUAACGCAUUAAGCACUCCGCCUGGGGAGUACGGUCGCAAGACUGAAACUCAAAGGAAUUGACGGGGGCCCGCACAAGCGGUGGAGCAUGUGGUUUAAUUCGAAGCAACGCGAAGAACCUUACCAGGUCUUGACAUCCUCUGACAACUCUAGAGAUAGAGCGUUCCCCUUCGGGGGACAGAGU
Molecule: ribosomal RNA, 503 nt
Filed under: uncultured Bacillota bacterium
Lineage: Bacteria; Bacillati; Bacillota
Description: bacterial SSU rRNA
Rfam family: Bacterial small subunit ribosomal RNA
Source: RNAcentral